UUAUGUUGAGUUCGCUCGCUGCUGCGGUGAGUAGAAGACGCAACACAGCAGUAGCUUUAGAGCGCGUGAGUUAACAAGACAUCUGGUUCGGAUGGGGAGCACAGCCAGGGCUGUCAACUUGGCUCAAAUCGCGCCAUUUUUGACCCUACUUUACUUUAAAUCGCAACUAAUUUUUCAAUUUGGCACGAAGUGCCAAAAUAGCACUAUUGAAAAAAUAUGUAUACAACUGGUUUAUCUUACUUUGGCAUUGGACUUUUGUUUUAGGAAGAUGUUCCUGAUUUUAAUGCUAAAGGAAAAGAAUCGAAAAGAAUGGCACCUUUUUGAAAUUGAAAUAAAUUUUCUUAGGAAGUUGUACUUUUACACAAGAAUCAGAGAGAAUAAUAAUUGUGUAAGCUCACACUGGAGCAUUUGCGAGCAAGAAUGGAAGAAGAAAUUUUGCAAGAACAACGUAAACAAGUUGUACAAGUGUGACGUCAUACAAACAGCGAUUCUGUCAAAUUCAUUAGCGGUAUCGAGAUGGGCGCCACCUUUGUUCUCUACAUCAUGACUUUUACAGAUAAGCAGGAGGUCUAUACUCUGUAUACGGACUAAUACAAAUUCAUAGUGCCAAGCAUUUGAAUUCGAAUGAUUUGCUCUUCGAAUCGUAAUACAGAGUAGACCCCCAGAAAAUUCUCUUUAUACAUAUAUUUUUGACACACAUACAUGCAUAUCGCACACGGUCAUCAAAAGCGACGUAAUUCAAAAUUUAUCAUUGUUGAAAUGAUGCGCUAAAAAUGCACACAGAGCUUUUAUUUACCAUUCCGCAAAAUCUGGAGCAUUUUUUUUUUAUAAUUGCAAAAACCUAAGUUAAAGUCUCCCUUGCCAAUAUGAUUAGCAUGUGCUAAGAAAUAGUUUGUCGCAUUUUCUGACAAACGUGUAAUUUUGAGUUCUGUCACCUUUGAAGAUAGUGUGCGAUAUGCUAGAAUGAAA
Molecule: RNA transcript, 969 nt
Organism: Rhagoletis pomonella (apple maggot)
Lineage: Eukaryota; Metazoa; Arthropoda; Insecta; Diptera; Tephritidae
Exons: 3
Source: RefSeq, a predicted model, not a curated record